CAGCGCCACGAGUGGCAACCGCGAUUAUUGGGCCUAAAGCGUCCGUAGCCGGCCUAGUAAAUCCUUUGUGAAAUUGCUCAGCCUAACUGAGCAGCGUGCAAGGGAGACUGCUAAGCUCGAGACCGGGAGGAGUCAGAAGUAUUCCAGGGGGAGCGGUAAAAUGUGAUAAUCCUUGGAGGACUACCUGUGGCGAAGGCGUCUGACCAGAACGGAUUCGACGGUGAGGAACGAAAGCCAGGGGAGCAAACCGGAUUAGAGACCCGCGUAGUCC
RNAcentral lists this ribosomal RNA (271 nucleotides) under uncultured archaeon. Its description in RNAcentral is "partial 16S ribosomal RNA". It matches the Rfam family "Archaeal small subunit ribosomal RNA", at positions 477 to 747 of the family's 1478-position model. The record is from RNAcentral.